UAUGGUUCAAUGAUUGGUUCUUUAGGUUGCUCUUGAAUCACUUUAACCUUAGGAAGUGUACAUUCGAUAAUAAAGUUGGCUAAUACUUGAGCUUUUAUAGAGGACCAAGGAAUAUAAGAUAUAUCAAACUCAUUGAGUUCUGUCAUCCAUUUCAUCCAUUUUCUUAAGGUAUCUGGUCAUUGCAAUAAGGCUUUCAAGGGA
RNAcentral lists this long non-coding RNA (201 nucleotides) under Elaeis guineensis (African oil palm). RNAcentral describes it as "long non-coding RNA (EGUI_LNC056750)". The record is from RNAcentral. Lineage: Eukaryota; Viridiplantae; Streptophyta; Magnoliopsida; Arecales; Arecaceae.